UACGUAGGGCGCGAGCGUUGUCCGGAAUUAUUGGGCGUAAAGAGCUCGUAGGCGGCUUGUCACGUCGGAUGUGAAAGCCCUCGGCUUAACUGAGGAAGUGCACCCGAAACUGAGUAGCUAGAGUACCAAAGAGGGUCGCGGAAUUCCCGGUGUAGAGGUGAAAUUCGUAGAUAUCGGGAGGAACACCGGUGGCGAAGGCGGCGACCUGGGUGGAUACUGACGCUGAGGCGCGAAAGCGUGGGGAGCAAACAGG
Molecule: ribosomal RNA, 253 nt
Filed under: uncultured bacterium
Lineage: Bacteria
Description: partial 16S ribosomal RNA
Rfam family: Bacterial small subunit ribosomal RNA
Source: RNAcentral